UCCCUGGUGGCUCAGUUGGUAAAGUAUCCACCUGCAAUGCAGGAAACCCAGGUUCAAUCCCUGGGUAGGGAA
Transfer RNA from Ovis aries (sheep), 72 nucleotides. It matches the Rfam family "tRNA". From Rfam's summary of the family: Transfer RNA (tRNA) molecules are approximately 80 nucleotides in length. Their secondary structure includes four short double-helical elements and three loops (D, anti-codon, and T loops). Lineage: Eukaryota; Metazoa; Chordata; Mammalia; Artiodactyla; Bovidae. The record is from Rfam.